RNAcentral lists this ribosomal RNA (650 nucleotides) under uncultured Alphaproteobacteria bacterium. RNAcentral's name for it is "bacterial SSU rRNA". It matches the Rfam family "Bacterial small subunit ribosomal RNA", at positions 35 to 719 of the family's 1533-position model. The record is from RNAcentral. Lineage: Bacteria; Pseudomonadati; Pseudomonadota; Alphaproteobacteria.
GCUGGCGGCAGGCCUAACACAUGCAAGUCGAACGUGAAGCGCUCCUUCGGGGGCGUGGAAAGUGGCGCACGGGUGAGUAACGCGUGGGAACCUGCCCUGGGGUAAGGAAUAACCGCUGGAAACGGCGGCUAAUACCUUAUACGCCCUUUGGGGGAAAGAUUUAUCGCCCUGGGAUGGGCCCGCGUCGGAUUAGCUAGUUGGUGAGGUAACGGCUUACCAAGGCGACGAUCCGUAGCUGGUCUGAGAGGAUGAUCAGCCACACUGGGACUGAGACACGGCCCAGACUCCUACGGGAGGCAGCAGUGGGGAAUAUUGGACAAUGGGGGCAACCCUGAUCCAGCCAUGCCGCGUGAGUGAAGAAGGCCUUAGGGUUGUAAAGCUCUUUCAACGGUGAAGAUGAUGACGGUAGCCGUAGAAGAAGCCCCGGCUAACUCCGUGCCAGCAGCCGCGGUAAUACGGAGGGGGCAAGCGUUGUUCGGAAUUACUGGGCGUAAAGGGCGUGUAGGCGGGUAUUCAAGUUAGGGGUGAAAGGCCUGGGCUCAACCUGGGAACUGCCUUUAAAACUGGAUACCUAGAGUGCGGGAGAGGGUAGCGGAAUACCCAGUGUAGAGGUGAAAUUCGUAGAUAUUGGGUAGAACACCGGUGGCGAA